RNAcentral lists this ribosomal RNA (477 nucleotides) under uncultured Desulfobulbus sp. RNAcentral's name for it is "bacterial SSU rRNA". It matches the Rfam family "Bacterial small subunit ribosomal RNA", at positions 916 to 1381 of the family's 1533-position model. The record is from RNAcentral. Lineage: Bacteria; Pseudomonadati; Thermodesulfobacteriota; Desulfobulbia; Desulfobulbales; Desulfobulbaceae.
GACGGGGCCCGGCACAAGCGGUGGAGUAUGUGGUUUAAUUCGAUGCAACGCGAAGAACCUUACCUGGUCUUGACAUCCCGGAGACCCUUAGGAAACUAGGGGGUGCUUCCAUCUGGAAGAAUCUGGAGACAGGUGCUGCAUGGCUGUCGUCAGCUCGUGUCGUGAGAUGUUGGGUUAAGUCCCGCAACGAGCGCAACCCUUGCCUUUAGUUGCCAGCAGUUCGGCUGGGCACUCUAAACGGGACUGCCGGUGUUAAACCGGAGGAAGGUGGGGAUGACGUCAAGUCCUCAUGGCCUUUAUGACCAGGGCUACACACGUACUACAAUGGCCGAUACAAAGGGCAGCGACACUGCGAGGUGAAGCCAAUCCCGUAAAAUCGGUCUCAGUCCGGAUUGGAGUCUGCAACUCGACUCCAUGAAGUUGGAAUCGCUAGUAAUCGUGGAUCAGCAUGCCACGGUGAAUACGUUCCCGGGCCUU